AUACGGGGGAUGCAAGCGUUAUUCGGAAUCAUUGGGCGUAAAGGGCACGCAGGCGGUUCUGUCAGUCAGAUGUGAAAGCCCGGGGCUUAACCCCGGACGUGCAUUUGAAACAGCAGGACUUGAGUAUGGUAGAGGAAAGCGGAAUUCCUGGUGUAGAGGUGAAAUUCGUAGAUAUCAGGAGGAACAACGGUGGCGAAGGCGGCUUUCUGGACCAAAACUGACGCUGAGGUGCGAAGGCGUGGGUAGCGAACAGGAUUAGAAACCCCAGUAGUCC
This 274-nucleotide ribosomal RNA is filed under the name uncultured bacterium. RNAcentral describes it as "partial 16S ribosomal RNA". It matches the Rfam family "Bacterial small subunit ribosomal RNA", at positions 523 to 796 of the family's 1533-position model. The record is from RNAcentral.